CGUUCCCGGGCCUUGUACACGCCGCCCGUCACACCACGAAAGUCGGCAACACCCGAAGCCAGUGGCCCAACCCGCAAGGGGGGAGCUGUCGAAGGUGGGGUCGGUGAUUGGGUG
This 114-nucleotide ribosomal RNA is filed under the name uncultured bacterium. RNAcentral describes it as "partial 16S ribosomal RNA". It matches the Rfam family "Bacterial small subunit ribosomal RNA", at positions 1369 to 1482 of the family's 1533-position model. The record is from RNAcentral.